RNAcentral lists this transfer RNA (126 nucleotides) under Pseudomonas umsongensis. RNAcentral's name for it is "tRNA-OTHER". It matches the Rfam family "tRNA". From Rfam's summary of the family: Transfer RNA (tRNA) molecules are approximately 80 nucleotides in length. Their secondary structure includes four short double-helical elements and three loops (D, anti-codon, and T loops). The record is from RNAcentral. Lineage: Bacteria; Pseudomonadati; Pseudomonadota; Gammaproteobacteria; Pseudomonadales; Pseudomonadaceae.
GGCUGGUUAGCAUAAUCGGUAAUGCGCCCUACGGCUGUGCUACGGCACAGCCUUCCCUCGAAUGGCACUUGGUUUCAGGUGAUAUUCGAGGGGUAGAUGGAGGUUCGAGUCCUCUGCCAGCCACCA